CUUGCAAUCCGCUGACGACCGGCGCACGGGUGCGUAACGCGUAUGCAACCUACCUUCUACAGGGGGAUAGUCAAUAGAAAUGUUGAAUAAUACCCCAUACGAUCUUUGAAUAGCAUUAUUUAAAGAAGAAAGUUCCGGCGGUAGAAGAUGGGCAUGCGUCCUAUUAGUUAGUUGGAGAGGUAACGGCUCCCCAAGACAUCGAUGGGUAGGGGUCCUGAGAGGGAGACCCCCCACACUGGUACUGAGACACGGACCAGACUCCUACGGGAGGCAGCAGUGAGGAAUAUUGGACAAUGGAGGCAACUCUGAUCCAGCCAUGCCGCGUGCAGGAAGACUGCCCUAUGGGUUGUAAACUGCUUUUAUACAGGAAGAAAUGUACCUACGUGUAGGUAUUUGACGGUACUGUACGAAUAAGGAUCGGCUAACUCCGUGCCAGCAGCCGCGGUAAUACGGAGGAUCCAAGCGUUAUCCGGAAUCAUUGGGUUUAAAGGGUCCGUAGGCGGUCUUUUAAGUCAGAGGUGAAAUCCUACAGCUCAACUGUAGAAUUGCCUUUGAUACUGAAGGACUUGAGUUAUUG
Molecule: ribosomal RNA, 577 nt
Filed under: uncultured Bacteroidota bacterium
Lineage: Bacteria; Pseudomonadati; Bacteroidota
Description: bacterial SSU rRNA
Rfam family: Bacterial small subunit ribosomal RNA
Source: RNAcentral